GGAGUUUGAUCCUGGCUCAGGAUGAACGCUGGCGGCGUGCCUAAUACAUGCAAGUCGAACGCUUCACUUCGGUGAAGAGUGGCGAACGGGUGAGUAAUACAUAAGUAACCUGGCAUCUACAGGGGGAUAACUGAUGGAAACGUCAGCUAAGACCGCAUAGGUGUAGAGAUCGCAUGAACUCUAUAUGAAAAGUGCUACGGGACUGGUAGAUGAUGGACUUAUGGCGCAUUAGCUUGUUGGUAGGGUAACGGCCUACCAAGGCGACGAUGCGUAGCCGACCUGAGAGGGUGACCGGCCACACUGGGACUGAGACACGGCCCAGACUCCUACGGGAGGCAGCAGUAGGGAAUUUUCGGCAAUGGGGGAAACCCUGACCGAGCAACGCCGCGUGAAGGAAGAAGUAAUUCGUUAUGUAAACUUCUGUCAUAGAGGAAGAACGGUGGAUAUAGGGAAUGAUAUCCAAGUGACGGUACUCUAUAAGAAAGCCACGGCUAACUACGUGCCAGCAGCCGCGGUAAUACGUAGGUGGCGAGCGUUAUCCGGAAUUAUUGGGCGUAAAGAGGGAGCAGGCGGCACUAAGGGUCUGUGGUGAAAGAUCGAAGCUUAACUUCGGUAAGCCAUGGAAACCGUAGAGCUAGAGUGUGUGAGAGGAUCGUGGAAUUCCAUGUGUAGCGGUGAAAUGCGUAGAUAUAUGGAGGAACACCAGUGGCGAAGGCGACGAUCUGGCGCAUAACUGACGCUCAGUCCCGAAAGCGUGGGGAGCAAAUAGGAUUAGAUACCCUAGUAGUCCACGCCGUAAGCGAUGAGUACUAAGUGUUGGGGGUCAAACCUCAGUGCUGCAGUUAACGCAAUAAGUACUCCGCCUGAGUAGUACGUUCGCAAGAAUGAAACUCAAAGGAAUUGACGGGGGCCCGCACAAGCGGUGGAGCAUGUGGUUUAAUUCGAAGCAACGCGAAGAACCUUACCAGGUCUUGACAUCGAUCUAAAGGCUCCAGAGAUGGAGAGAUAGCUAUAGAGAAGACAGGUGGUGCAUGGUGUCGUCAGCUCGUGUCGUGAGAUGUUGGGUUAAGUCCCGCAAUGAGCGCAACCCCUGUUGCCAGUUGCCAGCAUUAAGUUGGGGACUCUGGCGAGACUGCCGGUGACAAGCCGGAGGAAGGCGGGGAUGACGUCAAAUCAUCAUGCCCCUUAUGACCUGGGCUACACACGUGCUACAAUGGACAGAGCAGAGGGAAGCGAAGCCGCGAGGUGGAGCGAAACCCAUAAAACUGUUCUCAGUUCGGACUGCAGUCUGCAACUCGACUGCACGAAGAUGGAAUCGCUAGUAAUCGCGAAUCAGCAUGUCGCGGUGAAUACGUUCUCGGGCCUUGUACACACCGCCCGUCACACCAUGAGAGUCGGUAACACCCGAAGCCGGUGGCCUAACCGCAAGGAAGGAGCUGUCUAAGGUGGGACUGAUGAUUGGGGUGAAGUCGGAACAUGGUAUCCCUACGGGAACGUGGGGAUG
RNAcentral lists this ribosomal RNA (1504 nucleotides) under metagenome. Its description in RNAcentral is "bacterial SSU rRNA". It matches the Rfam family "Bacterial small subunit ribosomal RNA". The record is from RNAcentral.